GUACACGGUGGAUGCCCUGGCAGUCAGAGGCGAUGAAGGACGUGCUAAUCUGCGAAAAGCGUCGGUAAGGUGAUAUGAACCGUUAUAACCGGCGAUGUCCGAAUGGGGAAACCCAGUGUGAUUCGUCACACUAUCGUUAACUGAAUACAUAGGUUAACGAGGCGAACCGGGGGAACUGAAACAUCUAAGUACCCCGAGGAAAAGAAAUCAACCGAGAUUCCCCCAGUAGCGGCGAGCGAACGGGGAGCAGCCCAG
Molecule: ribosomal RNA, 255 nt
Filed under: Klebsiella pneumoniae
Lineage: Bacteria; Pseudomonadati; Pseudomonadota; Gammaproteobacteria; Enterobacterales; Enterobacteriaceae
Description: partial 23S ribosomal RNA
Rfam family: Bacterial large subunit ribosomal RNA
Source: RNAcentral